Molecule: ribosomal RNA, 260 nt
Filed under: uncultured bacterium
Lineage: Bacteria
Description: partial 16S ribosomal RNA
Rfam family: Bacterial small subunit ribosomal RNA
Source: RNAcentral
UCUUGCAAACUAAAGAUGGCGACCGGCGCACGGGUGAGUAACACGUAUCCAACCUGCCGAUAACUCGGGGAUAGCCUUUCGAAAGAAAGAUUAAUAUCCGAUAGUGUAUUAAAACCGCAUGGUUUUACUAUUAAAGAAUUUCGGUUAUCGAUGGGGAUGCGUUCCAUUAGUUUGUUGGCGGGGUAACGGCCCACCAAGACUACGAUGGAUAGGGGUUCUGAGAGGAAGGUCCCCCACAUUGGAACUGAGACACGGUCCAA